UAGGGAAUCUUCCGCAAUGGGCGAAAGCCUGACGGAGCAACGCCGCGUGAGUGAUGAAGGUCUUCGGAUCGUAAAACUCUGUUAUUAGGGAAGAACAAAUGUGUAAGUAACUAUGCACGUCUUGACGGUACCUAAUCAGAAAGCCACGGCUAACUACGUGCCAGCAGCCGCGGUAAUACGUAGGUGGCAAGCGUUAUCCGGAAUUAUUGGGCGUAAAGCGCGCGUAGGCGGUUUUUUAAGUCUGAUGUGAAAGCCCACGGCUCAACCGUGGGGGGUCAUUGGAAACUGGAAGACUUGAGUGCAGAAGAGGAAAGUGGAAUUCCAUGUGUAGCGGUGAAAUGCGCGGAGAUGUGGAGGAACACCAGUGGCGAAGGCGACUUACUGGUCUGUAACUGACGCUGAUGUGCAAAAGCGUGGGGAUCAAACAGG
RNAcentral lists this ribosomal RNA (429 nucleotides) under Actinomycetes bacterium. Its description in RNAcentral is "Actinobacteria bacterium partial 16S ribosomal RNA". It matches the Rfam family "Bacterial small subunit ribosomal RNA", at positions 355 to 776 of the family's 1533-position model. The record is from RNAcentral. Lineage: Bacteria; Bacillati; Actinomycetota; Actinomycetes.